UGAGGUAUAUUUUUACAUAUUUUUUAUUAUUACUUCAAUUGUACUAGAAUAAUUUAUUAGAAAUUUUAUAUUUUGCGAGUCUAAAAAUCUGUUAAUAAAAUAUGUUUGCAAGACCUGGACCAGCAGUCAAACCAAAACCUCGAACUAAACUAGAAACUUUAAAACUAAUUUACCAAGAUCCAGAUAUAUGGAAUACUGUGAAAAGUGUUGCUUUUUUCAUAGUUGCUAUAAAAUUUACUAGGGAAUUCAAAAAUGUUGAACUUAUACAUUAACUUCAUAUAGUCGUACCAUCUGUUGCAAAGAAUGUACAAACUACAACCUUAAUAUAAUAUAUAUAUAUUUACUUAUGUAAUCUUAUAGAAUAAAAUUUAUUAAUAAAAUA
Daktulosphaira vitifoliae (grape phylloxera) is the source of this 382-nucleotide long non-coding RNA. RefSeq lists it as uncharacterized. NCBI's taxonomy places the organism in Eukaryota, Metazoa, Arthropoda, Insecta, Hemiptera, Phylloxeridae. The transcript is spliced from 2 exons. The record is from RefSeq and is a predicted model, not a curated record.